RNAcentral lists this ribosomal RNA (482 nucleotides) under uncultured bacterium. Its description in RNAcentral is "partial 16S ribosomal RNA". It matches the Rfam family "Bacterial small subunit ribosomal RNA", at positions 29 to 507 of the family's 1533-position model. The record is from RNAcentral.
AUUGAACGCUGGCGGCAUGAUUUACACAUGCAAGUCGAACGGUAACAGGCCGCAAGGUGCUGACGAGUGGCGAACGGGUGAGUAAUGCAUCGGAACGUGCCCAGUCGUGGGGGAUAACUACUCGAAAGAGUAGCUAAUACCGCAUACGAUCUAUGGAUGAAAGCGGGGGACCGUAAGGCCUCGCGCGAUUGGAGCGGCCGAUGUCAGAUUAGGUAGUUGGUGGGGUAAAGGCUCACCAAGCCAACGAUCUGUAGCUGGUCUGAGGGGACGACCAGCCACAACUGGAACUGGGAAACGGCCAGACUCCCUAGGGAGGCAGCCGGGGGGGAUUUUGGACCAUGGGGGGAAGGCUGAUCCAGCAAUGGCGCGGGCAGGAAGGAAGCCUUCGGGUUGUUAACUGCUUUUUUACGGGACGAAAAGGGUUUGGGUAAUACCCGGGGCUAAUGACGGUACCGGAAGAAAAAGGCCCGGCUUACUACGGU